This 1893-nucleotide ribosomal RNA is filed under the name Triticum aestivum (bread wheat). RNAcentral's name for it is "partial small subunit ribosomal RNA". The record is from RNAcentral. Lineage: Eukaryota; Viridiplantae; Streptophyta; Magnoliopsida; Poales; Poaceae.
GAGGCGGGCGUGAGCGCGGCGAAGGUUAGCCCGGUCUUGGGAUCGGCGGUAGGGGCGAGCGGGCUAAGGGGCGUGAGGGGGCUCGGGUCUGGGCGGCGGCCGCUGGGGGAGGAGAGGGUAGCUGAGGUCGGGGCGGCGGUCGCUGGGGGAAGAGAGGGAGCUGAGGUCGGGCGGCGGCGCCUCUGCGCGUGGCUGGCGCCGGUAGCAGGAGACGGUGGCGGCGGAGGAGGAAGGGGUGGGAGGAGAGUGGAGGAGAAGCUCCGCACGGCGCCAGGAAGAGGCGCGGCCGCUGCGCACGUCGUCUCUUGCCGCCCGCACCGCCUCGCCCUGGUACGACGGCGCCGCCGGCCGAGCAGGGGCUGAAGACGAAGCGGUCUCUUCUUCCGGCUAAGUACUCUCCUCUCCUCCUCUCUACGCCGUCCCGCCGCCAGCAACAGCCGCUGCCCCUCCGCACGACUUGGACGGCCGAGCUGGGUCCUCGCCGUCCACGUCUCCGCGCACGCGAUGUGGGGGUGGGGCACGACGAGAGGCGGCGGGUCAGUAACACGGGCGACGAGUUUGAGGCGGUGGGGUAGCCGGCGAGGCUGCGGUGAGUACCAUAGGCCCUUCGUGCGCCGGUAACGAGCUAAGAGCGGAUUGAUCCAGCGGCGAAGAGGAACCACAAGGUGUCCUCUCCUCGUAGGCGGAGGUGUUGACCUCUCUGCGUAGAAGAGGGGAGGAGCUGUCGUUGUGUCCCUGCCUUGGUAGUCGACUCUACCUCCUACGGCGGGAAAUGCCGCGCGAGCGCCACCGGACCAAUGGUAGAGAACCUCUCUCCGUCCGGAUGGGGAAGAGGGGGUGUCCAAACGAGAGCCAAGAUAACCGUUCCCUAGAAACCCGUUAUCAACUCGUGGUUUCCUGUUAGAUUUAAUGAUAGUACUAUAAAGUCUACACUCCAGAGUACAGAAGGCCGAAUGUCAUCUACUAUGUUUCCAGUAACAAACGUCGUCUCGCCGAGGCACCGAUCGCGGCUCCACGACGUUGGUCCUCGCCUUCGUCACCAGCCGGUAGUGCAGACUGUGGGGUGACCUCUGGCAACCUGUAGUACGUUCGGUACCACUGACGUUCAACGAUUAAAACCCGAGGCACCCUAAACUACUCCAACGACGAGGAGAAUUUCUAGCUGAACACUACAACUCUUCUAAUGGUACAACUUCCUACCUGUUAAUCUCUCCUCAUAAGAGUGGUUUACGCAUACCUUCUUUCUUUUGUUCACUUCUUACGAAUACAGUCCAACUCAACUCGUUCCGUACUACCAGUAUCAAAAACGUUCCGCAUAGAAGUUACAAGUGUACAACAAUAGGAUCCGAAUACAGCACAUCGUUUUCUACCACCUAAACCUGGAAAUUUUGAUUUGAUACAUUGUUGUGUUACGAGCCUAAACUUCUAUAGUACAACGCGUAAUAUAUGGUGAGACGAGACGAAAACUAUAGAACCUAGAUACACAAAAACAACUUGAACUACGUUAAUUCGAAAGAAAUCCGUUGAUGACACAAUGAAAACCAUGUUUAACUUAGAGGUACGAAACAUAACUUGAAUCCGUAUGUAAAUAGAAUACGUUGUUGUCAAGGAACGAAAACGAUAUUGAAAAGAGACCGAUGUAUACAACAUGUGAAGAACGUUAAGAGGAUACUAAUAUAAUAUUCUAACCUAUACUGUCAUGGGCCGUCGCCACGACGACCCACGCCGUUCGGCGUGAAGGAUGGAUCAAAUUUAUUCUAUCUCGGAUGGACGAACACCGUCCUAAGCUCGUUGAGACCAAUCGUUCCUACGCGGUGACGUUGGGAUGGUGAUCUGGUAAAGGGUUAAGUGUAUAUACAGUUUAUUUGGACCUGUUCACGAUGACUUAUUAUG